AACGAACGCUGGCGGCAGGCUUAACACAUGCAAGUCGAACGCAUCCUUCGGGGUGAGUGGCAGACGGGUGAGUAACGCGUGGGAACGUGCCCUUCAGUUCGGGAUAACCCAGGGAAACUUGGGCUAAUACCGGAUACGUGCGAGAGCAGAAAGAUUUAUCGCUGAAGGAUCGGCCCGCGUCUGAUUAGCUAGUUGGUGGGGUAAUGGCCCACCAAGGCGACGAUCAGUAGCUGGUCUGGGAGGAUGAUCAGCCACAUUGGGACUGAGACAGGGCCCAAAUCCCUAGGGGGGGAAGAAGGGGGGAAUAUUGGACAAGGGGCGCAAGCCUGACCCAGCAAUGCGGCGUGAGUGAGGAAGGCCCUAGGGUUGUAAAGCUCUUUCGCCAGGGACAAUAAUGACGGUACCGGGAAAAGAAGCCCGGGCUAACUUCGUGCCACCCGCCGCGGUAA
Molecule: ribosomal RNA, 449 nt
Filed under: uncultured bacterium
Lineage: Bacteria
Description: partial 16S ribosomal RNA
Rfam family: Bacterial small subunit ribosomal RNA
Source: RNAcentral